GACGAACGCUGGCGGCGUGCUUAACACAUGCAAGUCGAACGGAAGGGCCCUGCUUUUGUGGGGUGCUCGAGUGGCGAACGGGUGAGUAACACGUGAGUAACCUGCCCUUGACUUUGGGAUAACUUCAGGAAACUGGGGCUAAUACCGGAUAGGAGCUCCUGCUGCAUGGCGGGGGUUGGAAAGUUUCGGCGGUUGGGGAUGGACUCGCGGCUUAUCAGCUUGUUGGUGGGGUAGUGGCUUACCAAGGCUUUGACGGGUAGCCGGCCUGAGAGGGUGACCGGCCACAUUGGGACUGAGAUACGGCCCAGACUCCUACGGGAGGCAGCAGUGGGGAAUAUUGCACAAUGGGCGGAAGCCUGAUGCAGCAACGCCGCGUGCGGGAUGACGGCCUUCGGGUUGUAAACCGCUUUCGCCUGUGACGAAGCGUGAGUGACGGUAAUGGGUAAAGAAGCACCGGCUAACUACGUG
RNAcentral lists this ribosomal RNA (468 nucleotides) under uncultured bacterium. Its description in RNAcentral is "partial 16S ribosomal RNA". It matches the Rfam family "Bacterial small subunit ribosomal RNA", at positions 28 to 507 of the family's 1533-position model. The record is from RNAcentral.